RNAcentral lists this non-coding RNA (29 nucleotides) under Bombyx mori (domestic silkworm). Lineage: Eukaryota; Metazoa; Arthropoda; Insecta; Lepidoptera; Bombycidae. The record is from RNAcentral.
GCAGACUGGAGCUGGGACGGCUGCCCUGC